Molecule: long non-coding RNA, 1147 nt
Filed under: Equus caballus (horse)
Lineage: Eukaryota; Metazoa; Chordata; Mammalia; Perissodactyla; Equidae
Description: lncRNA (ENSECAG00000043308.2)
Source: RNAcentral
GUGGGAAUUCCUCUUUCCUGACAUCUUUCCAGGCUGCUUCUCUGAGAUACUUCAUCUACCACUUCUGUCAAGAUCCUCUUUAAAGCUCCCCCGUCCAGUGUAAUUUUUUCUAAUAACGCUCUCCAUGCUGGCUCAUUGCUGUGCUCCCAUCAAUACACUCACUGCUCUCUCUGGGCCUCUGAGUCCUGCCUUGCUCCUGUGAUGCCUUGCCGGCUCCCUGCUACAUAAAAUGGAAUUUUCAGCCCUCACCCGAGUGAACUCCCUGUGGGUUAUUGUCCAAAUCUCUCCACGGGAUAUGAGGCAGCUCUCUCCACUGGCGAGGGAGGAUGGGGAGUAAGAAUGAAGAGGAGAGAAAGAGAAUGAGAGGAGGGCCUCACAGCUGGAGGAGAUGAGAACUAAGGUUCUCAAGCUACUAUUGUUGCAUCAGUCUCCUCUCUCCGUGCCUCUACAGUGUGUGAUGUCUUUCCACUCCAAUGCAACUUUCAAAGCCAAACCAUUUAUGAGGUUGAACAGUCGGUACAGCCAUUCUGGGACUACCAUCACAGCAAGCAGGAAGAGGGGCUGGCUGAUACUUGUUCCAGAUCUUCUUGUAGGCUUCCUUGGCCCUGGACUUUCAGCUGAAAAAAUUCCCCAGUCAUGGUGAUUCUCUUCCCUGGUUGGUGAAUAGUUUUAAGGAUGUUGUUCCAGAUGUGAUGCUGGGAACUGUGGCAACCGUGAGGGCACUAGUCUAAGGACCAAGCUGACACCCUGCGGAUGGAAGAACCUGGGUCCUCGUGCUGUGGUUAAGCCCUGAGUUAGCCAACCCUAGAACCUUCCCACCCUGGGACUUCUUGUUACAUGAGAUAGUAGAUGUUAUUAUUAUUUGAACCAUGCAAACCAGAGUUUUCUGCUGCUUGUUGUCCAUUGCAUCCUAACUGAUAUCACCUCAGGGCAUCUCAUGGCUCCUUCUCAUCAUAUAAGGGUCAGGACAAAUGUCCCCUCCUCAGAAAGUCCUUUUCCAGCCACCCUAAGGAAAUAACCUGCAAUGUCCCCCUCCUUGCAUUGGUUGCUGUUACUAGCGUGCAUAUCUGUAAUAAUCUUGCUAGGCAGGCUCCCUCACUUGAGUAUAAGUUCCCUGAGAUUAAGAGCAUUAAGAGCAUUCUGUCAC